This 157-nucleotide small RNA is filed under the name Crocodylus porosus (Australian saltwater crocodile). RNAcentral's name for it is "TUC338 (ENSCPRG00005014805.1)". Lineage: Eukaryota; Metazoa; Chordata; Crocodylia; Crocodylidae. The record is from RNAcentral.
UUGACAGUCUUGGGAUAUAAAGUCCUUUAUUCAUCCACAGAGCAGGCAGAGGAAGUGUCAGUUUCUUCUGCCCUACCAAUUUUGCUCAUCCCUGACCCAGAGAUAUCACCUCUAGUGUGGAGUUUAUCCUCCUUGUCUUUCUAAUCAUGGGGCUUUC